This is a long non-coding RNA of Anguilla rostrata (American eel), 1020 nucleotides long. RefSeq lists it as uncharacterized. The transcript has 2 exons. NCBI's taxonomy places the organism in Eukaryota, Metazoa, Chordata, Actinopteri, Anguilliformes, Anguillidae. The record is from RefSeq and is a predicted model, not a curated record.
UGUCACAUGAUGGGUUAAACCCACGUGGACCAGCCUCUCUUUUUUUUCUCUCAUCUUUGCUUAUUUCUCACUCUCUCUCUCUCUCUCUCUCUCUCUCUUUCACACAUUGUAUCCCUGGGUCCAAGCCACCGCAUGGCCGUGAACCACAUGAACCUGUGCUUUCUUUUCUCUUUCUCAUCUCUAUGCAAUCCAGCUCUCUCUUCCUGUCUCUGUGCUUGGGGACUGAAUCUUGGAUCAGGAAUUCUCAAGGAUCCCAGCACCAGCUUUAAAGAAGCCACGAUCAGAGACGGUGCACGGCUCCCUGCGUUUGCUCUCCUCCAGCGUGUACCGGCUGCAGGGCGGGUGCUGGAAGGCGGCCCCCGUGGACAGCAGCCCCGGCCCUGACAUGCUGUGUUUGCAUCAGCUGUUUCUCUUCACAGUCUGUUUGGACAUGCCGCAGCAGAGCAGUCCCCCAGCCCCUCCUCUUUGCACACAACUGAAUUGUCUGUUCAAUAAGAGAUGAUGAAUCACAUGGAAGGUAUAUUGUGCUCUCCUUCUUGAUCACAGACGUUCCACCCAGCUAAUUAAUCCAUGCUACAGCUUGUGGUGCUCUGACAUCAAAGGUUUGGUGAGUGGGGUGGCACUAUGGGAUGCCCUGCAAGAGAAUUCCAACACCCAGAGACAGAGAAUGGAGGCAGAUUCUCUUCAGGUGACUUGCUGACAGAUGUGUGCUUAAUUGUAAGUAGUUGAAGGAGAUACAGACUGUUCCUAAUGGGGAAGACAAUUAAUUAUGAAAACAUAUUUGUUAUAUGAUAAACAAUAUAACAUUUCAAGUAUGUUUAAAUUAUGUGAGGAACCCAUAGGGCAUCACCGCUUGUCUAGCACAUGGGUUUUCAAAUAUUAUACCCAUUGAGCCUAUCCUAGGCAGUCAAGACAGGUGAAUCAUUUAUGUUAGUUGUGAUUGAAAAUGUUACUGCAAACAUCUUAAGCACAAUGUCUAAGCAAGUUUGAAAUGGACCACACAGACACAAGAAAUAAAAA